UACACUUUAAAUCCUUUAACGAGGAUCUAUUGGAGGGCAAGUCUGGUGCCAGCAGCCGCGGUAAUUCCAGCUCCAAUAGCGUAUAUUAAAGUUGUUGCGGUUAAAAAGCUCGUAGUUGGAUCUCGGUUUCACUCAGGUGGUACACCUUGCGGUGUUCACUAUCUGGGUGGACGUUUCUGUUGGUUCGCUCUUGGUGCUCUUCAUCGGGUGCCAUUUGGUGGCCAGCACGUUUACUUUGAAAAAAUUGGAGUGCUCAAAGCAGGCGUUACAGCCUGAACAUUAGUGCAUGGAAUAAUGGAAUAGGAUCUCGAUUCUAUUUCGUUGGCUUUCGGAGUCGAGGUAAUGAUUAAUAGGGACAGACGGGGGCAUUCGUACUGCGACGUUAGAGGUGAAAUUCUUGGAUCGUCGCAAGACGAACUACUGCGAAAGCAUUUGCCAAGAAUGUUUUCAUUAAUCAAGAACGAAAGUUAGAGGUUCGAAGGCGAUCAGAUACCGCCCUAGUUCUAACCAUAGACGAUGCCAACCGGCGAUCCGUCGUCGUUAAUUGAAUGACUCGACGGGCAGCCUCCGGGAAACCAGAGUGUUUGGGUUCCGGGGGAAGUAUGGUUGCAAAGCUGAAACUUAAAGGAAUUGACAGAAGGGCACCACCAGGAGUGGAGCCUGCGGCUUAAUUUGACCCAACACGGGAAAUCUCACCAGGCCCGGACACCGGAAGGAUUGACAGAUUGAGAGCUCUUUCUUGAUUCGGUGGGUGGUGGUGCAUGGCCGUUCUUAGUUGGUGGAGCGAUUUGUCUGGUUAAUUCCGAUAACGAACGAGACUCUGGCCUACUAACUAGAAGGUCUAUCCUUUAUGGGUAGGCCUCUGCUUCUUAGAGGGACGGGCGGCGUUUAGCCGCACGAGAAUGAGCAAUAACAGGUCUGUGAUGCCCUUAGAUGUUCUGGGCUGCACGCGCGCUACACUGAAGGAAUCAGCAUGUUCUCCCCUCCCUGAAAAGGGCGGGUAACCCGUUGAAACUCCUUCGUGAUGGGGAUUGGAGAUUGUAAUUAUUCUCCAUGAACGAGGAAUUCCCAGUAGGCGCGAGUCAUCAGCUUGCGUCGAUUACGUCCCUGCCCUUUGUACACACCGCCCGUCGCUACUACCGAUCGAGUGAUUUAGUGAGGACUUCGGACUGGUCUUCAAGUUGGCUUCGGUCGGCUCGAAGUUCCGGAAAGAUGCCCAAACUUGAUCACUUAGA
Molecule: ribosomal RNA, 1235 nt
Filed under: metagenome
Description: SSU rRNA
Rfam family: Eukaryotic small subunit ribosomal RNA
Source: RNAcentral